GGAAGAAUUGCCUUGAGCUCUUUGGCCCCGGACCAGUGUCUGUCAAUCACGUGCUCAGCCUCCCGUGUGCUAAAGCUUAGGUCCUUCCUGUCAUCCUGGUCUCCUGCACUGAAGUAUGUGAGCUCUUCCCACCAGCAGACCCCCUGGGAUUGACUGGCAUAGGUGAGUGGUGACCCCAGAGGAAGACUUGCCUUUGGGUCGCUGGCCCCAGGCCGGUGGUCAUCAUCCAGGUGCCCAACUUUGGUGCACUAAAGCUCAGGCCCUUCCUGGUGCCCUGGUCUCCUGCACUGAGCUGUGUGAGCUCUUCUGCCUAGCAGACCCCCUGGCAUUGACCAGCAUAGAUGGUGAGACCAGAGGAAAACUGUCGUUGGGCCCACUAUCGCAGGGCGAGUGGUCGUCAGUCAGGUGCCCAGCCCCUGGAGCGCUGAAGCUCAGGCCUUUCC
Long non-coding RNA from Mandrillus leucophaeus (drill), 443 nucleotides. RefSeq lists it as uncharacterized. NCBI's taxonomy places the organism in Eukaryota, Metazoa, Chordata, Mammalia, Primates, Cercopithecidae. The transcript is spliced from 6 exons. The record is from RefSeq and is a predicted model, not a curated record.